AAUUUUAUGAUUUGGAGAAUUUAAUUUAAAUUUAUUUUACAUAUAAAUUUUAGUGUUAGUUUUAUAUUAUUUUAAUAAUUUUAUAUUGAUAUUAAUUAGUAAUUAAUAUUAAAAAUUUAAGAAAUUAAGAUUUAGUAAUAUUUUAAUUUAUAAACAAAUUUUGUGCCAGCAGUUGCGGUUAUACAAAAUAUAAUUUAAAUUAUGUCAGUAUAUAAUUAUCAAUUAAUUAAAAAUUAAAUUUUUAAUUAUUAGGUGAAAUUUUAAUUAWAUUUAUAGUAUAAUAAUAUAUUUGAGAUUUAUAAAAUUUUAUAAAAAACUAGGAUUAGAUACCCUAUUAUUAAAAUUUAAAAUUAAAUACUAAAAUAGUAAAUAAUAAUUUAUUGAAACUUAAAUAAGUUGGCGGUAUUUUAGUUCAUUUAGAGGAAUCUGUCUAAUAAUUGAUAAUCCACGAAUAAAUUUACUUAAUUUUUUUUUUAUUUUGUAUAUCGUUGUUAAAAAAAUAUUUAUUAAUAAAAAUAAUAUUUUAAAAUUAAAAUUAAAAAUUAAUUCAGAUCAAGAUGCAGAUUAUAGUUAAGAAUAUGAUGGAUUACAAUAAUAAUAAAAUUAAAAAUGAAUAAUAUUUUUUAAAAAAUAUUUGAAGGUGGAUUUAAAUGUAAUUUUAUUUAAUUUAUUAAAAUGAUUUAAAAUUAAAAUAUGUACAUAUUGCCCGUCGCUUUCAUUAAUAAAUUGGAAUAAGUCGUAACAAAGUAGAGGUACUGGAAAGUGUUUCU
RNAcentral lists this non-coding RNA (770 nucleotides) under Iphiclides podalirius (scarce swallowtail). The record is from RNAcentral. Lineage: Eukaryota; Metazoa; Arthropoda; Insecta; Lepidoptera; Papilionidae.